Oryza brachyantha (malo sina) is the source of this 139-nucleotide non-coding RNA. NCBI's taxonomy places the organism in Eukaryota, Viridiplantae, Streptophyta, Magnoliopsida, Poales, Poaceae. The record is from Rfam.
CCUGUCGACGAAGAGGAUCUAAUCUCGUAUAUUAUUGCGGGAUUGGAUGAAGACUUUGAACCCAUAAUCUCAUCUUUGGUUUCAAAGUCCGAACACGUGAGCCUAGGAGAGGCUUACUCUCAACUGCUCAGCUUUGAGC